This 433-nucleotide ribosomal RNA is filed under the name uncultured bacterium. RNAcentral's name for it is "bacterial SSU rRNA". It matches the Rfam family "Bacterial small subunit ribosomal RNA", at positions 28 to 477 of the family's 1533-position model. The record is from RNAcentral.
GAUGAACGCUGGCGGCGUGCCUAACACAUGCAAGUCGAACGAUGAAACCGCCCUCGGGCGGACAUGAAGUGGCGAACGGGUGAGUAACACGUGACCAACCUGCCCCUUGCUCCGGGACAACCUUGGGAAACCGAGGCUAAUACCGGAUACUCCUCGCCCCCCUCCUGGGGGGCCCGGGAAAGCCCAGACGGCAAGGGAUGGGGUCGCGGCCCAUUAGGUAGUAGGCGGGGUAACGGCCCACCUAGCCCGCGAUGGGUAGCCGGGUUGAGAGACCGACCGGCCACAUUGGGACUGAGAUACGGCCCAGACUCCUACGGGAGGCAGCAGUGGGGAAUUUUGCGCAAUGGGGGCAACCCUGACGCAGCAACGCCGCGUGCGGGACGACGGCCUUCGGGUUGUAAACCGCUUUCAGCAGGGAAGAAAUUCGACGGUA